GUGAGGAAUAUUGGACAAUGGGCGCAAGCCUGAUCCAGCCAUGCCGCGUGCAGGAAGACGCAUCUAUGGUGUGUAAACUGCUUUUGUACGGGAAGAAACACUCCCUCGUGAGGGAGCUUGACGGUACCGUAAGAAUAAGGAUCGGCUAACUCCGUGCCAGCAGCCGCGGUAAUACGGAGGAUCCAAGCGUUAUCCGGAAUCAUUGGGUUUAAAGGGUCCGGAGGCGGUUUAAUAAGUCAGUGGUGAAAGCCCAUCGCUCAACGAUGGAACGGCCAUUGAUACUGUUAGACUUGAAUUACAAGGAAGUAACUAGAAUAUGUAGUGUAGCGGUGAAAUGCUUAGAUAUUACAUGGAAUACCAAUUGCGAAGGCAGGUUACUACUUGUGGAUUGACGCUGAUGGACGAAAGCGUGGGGAGCGAACAGGAUUAGAAACCCCGGUAGUCC
This 445-nucleotide ribosomal RNA is filed under the name uncultured bacterium. RNAcentral describes it as "partial 16S ribosomal RNA". It matches the Rfam family "Bacterial small subunit ribosomal RNA", at positions 354 to 796 of the family's 1533-position model. The record is from RNAcentral.